Molecule: long non-coding RNA, 276 nt
Filed under: Selaginella moellendorffii
Lineage: Eukaryota; Viridiplantae; Streptophyta; Lycopodiopsida; Selaginellales; Selaginellaceae
Description: long non-coding RNA (SMOE_LNC000004)
Source: RNAcentral
CCCAUCCUCAUCUGGCAUGUUAUCCACAAAUUCUGCCGCAUUCACUAUACCAAUCACAACGUAAGCCUUGAGCGGUCCAGUAAACAGGGGCCAGUACCGGCCGUUCUGCCUGAAUCUGGAACAUAAAGAAAGAGCACAAGUAAAACAACAAGGAAAACACUUUUAACUCUACUUACCUCUCAAGAUGCGAAUGUCUUGUGGCCUCUGUACCCUUCCUCAUCAGUUGAAAAAACCAGCCAAACUGUGCCAAAUAGUAAUCAGCGAAGCCUUUGACAC